Long non-coding RNA from Caretta caretta (loggerhead turtle), 1002 nucleotides. RefSeq lists it as uncharacterized. The record is from RefSeq and is a predicted model, not a curated record. Lineage: Eukaryota; Metazoa; Chordata; Testudines; Cheloniidae.
UCUCACACCACUGUCCACUUCUGGGAAACUGAUUCCUAGAGCCAAAACUCAGGCCAGUAAUCCGGUUAAACUGCAGGUUUGACAAGACAAAGCAGCCAGUGGUACUACACUAGUGCAUAAAACAAAGCUAGAACAGCCGCCACUGAGACCAAGAGGAGCUGAACACCCUUGAAUAGCUGGCUCUAUUGCUCAAAAAAUAACCUGGUCAGAGUCAGACCCCAUGGACCUCAUCUGUAGAGGUAUAUUGACAUCAUCAUCAAGAUCCUCUCUGCUGCAACAUGCUUUGAUACUAAGGCUGCCCUGGUGACAUGAGCCCCUCCCCGUUCAAAGCACCAUUUCUGACAGCCUUUGUGCUGAUCUGCUCCGGGACACAAAGCAAACCAUUAAUGUGGAAUGAUCAUGCUGUUGGACACAGAGGCAGAGGCAGAGGAUCUUUGAACAAGCUGCAAGGAAUGUUGCUGGAGAUAUUCAAGGUGAGACUUGAAAAACCCAUUGAUCAUGGAUAGUUUCGGAAGCAUGAAAUCAAUUCCACCAUGAUUCAAGAAAAUGGAUAGGUGAACUAAGUGACCCAUGAGAAGAUGGUCUCUUCAAAUCUAUGUCACCAAUCAUACUGUUUGUUUAACUUUUAUUCUUUCACUCAGUUUGCACAAUAAAACUAGACUGGUCAGUUUCAUGUUUGUUUCAAGUUUGUUUCUCCCUCUGUUUCUCCUGUAUUGUUGUUCUUGGAUUUAGAAGACUGGAGAGAAAUGUUUUAAUUAUAACAAAACAGCUGUUUGUUUAUGCAAUGUUUUCAUCAACUUUUAAGAACAAUAAUGAAGCAUGUCUCUCUCCACUUAAAAAUGUCUGUCCGUCUUUUUCUUUAUAUGGCCUUCAUAACCAUAAUAUUUACAUUUUGAACCUCUUUGUAAUUAACAGAAUUUCUUGUGCUUGGAUUUCCUAACUAAUGUAUUGGUUCAAAACAAGGGGGAAAACAGGCUUUAAAACAAUACCAAGAUGCUGAUG